CUUCUGUUUUCACACACAGCUUCUGCAGUUCUGCUUAGCUUCUGGUAAAUAGUAAAGAUAAAUGUUUUACAUCUAGAGUUAUAUUUAUAUAAUUUCUGGAAUUUUUUAAAUACCAGGGGACUUUGUAAAUGACGUCUGAAUUUAAAACGCUGUUUCUGUCACAGCGGUGCUCCAAAACUUCUUUUUUUAUAAUACCAUCUCAUAAAACUUGUUCCUAAAAUACAUAGUACAAAUGAAAAACACAAAGGGCCUUGAGCAAGAAGAACACAGGGAUUUUGGUGUUGCCUAACACAUGUGGAUGAACACUGGGAGCGUUUCAGAAACACACAGGAAAACUUCCCUUCUCACUACUGUGCCACCGGGAGAGGACAACUAUCAACCCACAUUCCUGUUAUUGUUAUUCUAAUUAGCUUCCAGAUUAAAUAAAUAUCUGUGUGCAUGUACACGUACACACUUGUGCAAAAGCUUAUUUUCAGUGCGAGGGGGAAGUCGGGGUAGAGUUAGAGCAGCCAUGUGUGAGAUAGGAGCCCUGAUGUCUCCCAAGGAUUCAAGGAAAGGCAUGGGGUGAAAUGGCACAAUAAUCAAGACGGCCGGCGGGAGGGAGGGAGGAAGCCCACGGGAAGCUCUGCCUUCACACACAGUCGUCAUUAGAUUAUCUUUGAGAGGACCGCUACAUUCCCCUCAUCCCCGCUCUGCUGCCUACAUGUGACAGCUGCGCACAUAAAGACAAGACAGGGUUAUGAACAACAAAAACAACAACAACAAAAAAAACACUCCCGUAUCUGUAACGUAACAUUUAUCAAUGGAGAAGGAAAGCUAACCAACGUAACACCUGACAGAGCACAAUUCAAACGCAGAGUUCAUGUUUACUCCCACCAUACUGAACUCGUAAAACCAGCCAAAGCAAAGGUAAUAAAGUACUGCAUGGCAUCUUUGGUAAGACUCGGUGUUCUACAAUAAAAGUGAAUCCAGCAAAAUCUGUGAAUAGAUGAAAAAAUAAGUCUUGUUCUUAAGUAACACGUGUUUGGUAAUCAAUAAGCAACUGACCACGUGGAUUUAUUUAACUAGGUCCUUUUUUUCUAAGAAUUCAGAUCAUGCCAACGAGCAGCGUUGCCAGAGCCCCAAAACAAAAUAAGCACCAAGAUGUGAAAUUCCAACCAUGGGAAUCCAGACCAGCUCUGAACGCAUCUCUUAAUCCCCUGUGAUUAUAAAGCAAUCCAGAGUCUUAUUUUGUUUUAUACCAGAUGUAAGUUAUUGAUUAGACCGUUGCAGUUUUCACUGCACAGCCAGUUUUAAGUCCAUUUACCCUACCUAAAGUAGUAAAAUAAGAUGUUAGUCAAAAUAAGCUGCCCCCCUGCUAUUUAUAGGUUGCACAGUAGGCUUUAAAUGCAAACUUCAGAGGUCCUUUGAGAGUUUGUGUCUUUCAUUGCAUGAUUACAAGCUUGGCAGGACGAUUUACAAUAGUAGGGCUAUGUGCCGCAGCGACAGAAAGAAAAAGCAGUCGAAAAACCUCAGCGUGCUAUUUCUUGAUAGGAGCCUCGGCCCCUGACACCGCUGAGCCCUGGAGUGAUGCCAGGACAGUGAUUUGAAGAAUUCCUCUGGUUUCUGUGGCUCUGCAAGUGCCCCUUUGCAGGAAAUGUGACAUGGACCAGGCAGGACAGUGAUCAAAAAAAGAGGAAGCUGUCAGACUGUGGAGUUUUAACUCCUCUCUUCACGGACCAAUGAGCUCUGGAGAUGGGCGGGCUUCCAAGCGUGUAAAGGGCAGAAAACAACAAUACACAAGAACCGAGCAUCAACUCUCCGAACCAAGUCCGAUCCAGGUCCAGUUUGAUCCCGUCAGGAGCAAAUGCGACAAAAUGAGGAGAGUCCGUACCGGUGCUCCUGUUUCAGCGCUGCCAUUUYUUCAACUGAAGUCCUCCAGCUCCAGCGGCGACAUUCUGCUCCAACGUCACGAAGAAGACGGGUGGGCGGGGCUAACACACAAACACAAGCUCACGCAUUUUUAAGCACGCGCACAGAAAUAUGAACUAGGUCGCUCGUACCAGUCUGUAUUUAUCAGGUGUUUGAUGUGUUUUGGGGCUGCGUUGGUAGAGGUCCAAAAACCCGGAUUCAGGUAUUUAUUUAUUUAUUUAUUUAUUUAUUUAUUUAUUUAUUUAUUUAUUUAUUUACUGACUGCACCGUGCACACACACACACACGAGUAAGUAAAUACAAACGGAGGACUGUUCUACAUUACUUCCUCGUUUGAUUUUAUUGUACAUAAGCAAAAGGAGCUAAACAAUCUUACAAAACUCAUGAUGCUCUUAUGUCAACAACUGAUGUGCUGGAGUCAUUAUUUGCUGACUGCAGUUUAAAAUGACCAUAGCUUCAACACUGUAACUUCUAUUUGAGCUGAUUUUACUGUCAAAUGAGACAAUCAAAUGCAGUUAGGGUUGGCAUGUUAAAAGUUGUAGCCACGUAAUAUGAUUGAUUUGCUUUUCUACAUUUGAUGAUACACAUUUACACAUUUAGGCACAAAUACUGAAAAUCACUGGUUCAUGCAGAACCAGUUUUAACUUCAUUAUAAAGUGUGAAAAUGCRUUUGUUUUAAGAAUCUGAGUGGCAUAAAUAAGAUAAAUCUCAAACCAACAUGUGAAGUCAAUAUGUUAUCAAAUAUAAAACGUGUUGAUACAAUGUUUUUGAGUUGAUAAUAAUAAUAAUAAUAAUAAUAAUAAUAAUAAUAAUAAUAAUAAUAAACACAAUUAACUCCAUAUUCAAUGUCAUAAAUGAAAUUAUUUUGAUCUGCUGCUUUGACUGGCACAAAGAACAGCUUGAAAAUUAAAAAGGCCAUGCUUGAAUUGCAUGUAGAACGUGGACACCUUAGUACUUUUAGGCAGCAUAUUUGUCUAUAUAUGAAAAGAUAUGGGUGCUGUACAUAAAAUAUGAUUUGCUUACUUUGAAAGCAGUGAAAAAACCCAGUAAGAAAUUAACUUAAAAAUGAAAAAAAUUGUUUUGAAUUAUAAGCUGCACAAAUAAGUCAGAAACAAUAUAUCACAAUAUCUGAUUUAAAAACUGCAGAGAAAUUGUUCAAAUAAUGUUUCAAAGCACAUUUUAAAGCAACAGUUUAGACUUUUUGAAGUGGUGUUUUGUUGAAAGGCUGCAAAAAGUGAAUAUCUUACAUGUUGUAGCUCUUUGAGCAAUCUCCUUUAGUAAAAAUAAAGGGUAUUUUUUGACUGGAUUGAUAAUUUAACUGUUAGCCUAAGUGUUACUAAGAGCAAAGUGGGUUGCUGUCAUAUUAAAACAACUCACAUCUUAAAACUUUCAAAGCAAUGAUAUAUGAACACUGUUAUAAACCUUUACAAGCCACUGUUACGUUCUGAUUACAUCAUCAUUCCAGCAAAAACACAAUCUACUGGAAGUGUUACAGUUAGCUGCUGCUGCUACCAUUUGCAUUUUAAAUCUAAUGUAAAUAAAUCUGUAAUGUGAACCAUGUAAAGUUUUAAAAGCUACUUCUAGCUUUAUGAUGACAACAAUCAACCUGGCGAUUGGACUGAGUAAAUCUGUUAGUUUAAUAAUCCACUCAGAAUGAAGCUUUAUUUCUUCAAGCUUUAAAAAUCCAUUCAAAGUUAAGGGUUUUUAAAGAAUCAAAUAUUGUCUUCAGGGACAGUGCUGAUUUUUAAUUACAGCAACAUCAAAGUGCAAUCUGAAUUUUUAACAACAGCAGCAUGGAUUCAUGUUGAAGUACAGAUGUACAAAUGAGCAUCAAAACCUCUCAUGACCCUCUGCUUUAACAUCCUUGGUUCAAAUCUCUGUUCACAUUCUAACAUGAUCACAUUUCUGCCUUAUAUACAGGUGCUGGUCAUAAAAUUAGAAUAU
This is a long non-coding RNA of Austrofundulus limnaeus, 3854 nucleotides long. RefSeq lists it as uncharacterized. The record is from RefSeq and is a predicted model, not a curated record. The transcript has 4 exons. NCBI's taxonomy places the organism in Eukaryota, Metazoa, Chordata, Actinopteri, Cyprinodontiformes, Rivulidae.